UCGGGAGGAGUUCGGAGGCUCCGGGCGGCGAACGAUUCGGACCCACGAACGGGCCGAGCCGCCUGGGCGCUGUCUUCGUCCCGCCCGACGCAUUUCCCCCCGCACGGCGGACGCCGCAACCGGUUGGGUAGCUGCGAGAGUCGGCCGCGAGGAACGGCUGCGGAAGGUGGACCGGGUGGCGGCUUCGGCCGCCUCCGGUUGUUAUAGCCUGCCGUUCCGUGGCGCGACACCCGACCGAGGUCAAUGUUCCCGGUUUCGGGAACGCUCAGUCGUCCCCCUCCCGGCGCGCCCGCCGGCAGGCGGUCUCCCCGGCUGCGAGUCACCCCUCGCGGUGGCCGCUCUUGGGAGUUCCGCCGCUGGCCGAACGGUGGCGCGCGGGGGCGCUGUUCCUCUUCUCGAGGUUGGCGGCGAGUAGGUCGGUCACCCACCCGACCCGUCUUGAAACACGGACCAAGGAGUCUAACAUGUGCGCGAGUCAUUGGGUCUUGCUCAGGCCCAAAGGCGCAAUGAAAGUGAAGGCGACGUCUCACGACGGCCGCCGUGUUGGGACCCCUCGGCCUCCGCGCCGGGGGAGCACCAACGACCCGUCCCGUCCGGCUCGCCGGUGGGGCGGAGUCUGAGCGUACACGUUGGGACCCGAAAGAUGGUGAACUAUGCCUGGGCAGGACGAAGCCAGAGGAAACUCUGGUGGAGGUCCGCAGCGGU
RNAcentral lists this ribosomal RNA (705 nucleotides) under Scytodes sp. 44 YFL-2022a. Its description in RNAcentral is "partial large subunit ribosomal RNA". The stretch from base 450 to 705 matches the Rfam family "Eukaryotic large subunit ribosomal RNA", at positions 665 to 884 of the family's 3401-position model. The record is from RNAcentral. Lineage: Eukaryota; Metazoa; Arthropoda; Arachnida; Araneae; Scytodidae.